This 76-nucleotide transfer RNA is filed under the name Bacillota bacterium. RNAcentral's name for it is "Firmicutes bacterium (hot springs metagenome) tRNA-Lys". It matches the Rfam family "tRNA". Rfam says of the family: Transfer RNA (tRNA) molecules are approximately 80 nucleotides in length. Their secondary structure includes four short double-helical elements and three loops (D, anti-codon, and T loops). The record is from RNAcentral. RNAcentral also lists the same sequence under 4 other names. Lineage: Bacteria; Bacillati; Bacillota.
GCGCCGGUAGCUCAGUCGGCAGAGCACCGGACUUUUAAUCCGGGGGUCGCAGGUUCAAUUCCUGCCCGGCGCACCA